Molecule: long non-coding RNA, 654 nt
Filed under: Anser brachyrhynchus (Pink-footed goose)
Lineage: Eukaryota; Metazoa; Chordata; Aves; Anseriformes; Anatidae
Description: lncRNA (ENSABRG00000002013.1)
Source: RNAcentral
UUGGCAGUUCCAAGACUUUUUAGAGAAUAUUCACAGAAUCACAGAAUUGUAGGUGUUGGAAGGGACCUCAAGAGGUCAUCGGGUCCAACCCCCAUAUUGUUUCAUUGCAUAUCAAAACAUUUGAUAGGAGAAGCACCAUCAUACUAAACAUUCUGACAAUAUAAUUGUCUGCAAUCAAACAGCCUGCUGGAGGAAAAAGGGAUCUGAAUUUUGAGUAAUUAAAAAGAUGGUUAUCUAAUCCCUCAAGAGCACUUAAGGACAGUAAGACUAUGAAGAGACAGAGAACAACAACUGAAGUUCCACCGCAAGCUAACCAAAAGAACUGUGAUUUUUCAGACUAUUGCCUGUGGCUCUUUCACAAGAAAUGGUCUCAAAGCCACUGGGUGGAUGUCUACUCAAGAGGAGAAAAUCAGGAAUAUGCAAUGAGCCCCCAGGGAAUGGAGAGACAGAUUGAUCAACAAUAAAAUCUGCUUCGGGCGUCAUAAAUCUUAGACAAAAGGUGUCCAUUUCAAACAUGCUGUUUACUUCUUCCACUUUCAUGAAGAACAGAAGAAGCAAGAACUUGGUUUCCAUCAGUGAAACAUGAGGUAUUCUGGAGCAGAACACUUAAAAAUGCAGAAUGGCGUUGCUUUUGACAUUAUUAUCUUGAAUCUU